Molecule: ribosomal RNA, 253 nt
Filed under: uncultured bacterium
Lineage: Bacteria
Description: partial 16S ribosomal RNA
Rfam family: Bacterial small subunit ribosomal RNA
Source: RNAcentral
UACGAGGGGGGCGAGCGUUGUUCGGAAUUAUUGGGCGUAAAGGGUGCGUAGGCGGUUUGUCGCGUCUGCUGUGAAAACCCGAGGCUCAACCUCGGGCCUGCAGUGGGUACGGGCAGACUAGAGUGCGGUAGGGGAGAUUGGAAUUCCUGGUGUAGCGGUGGAAUGCGCAGAUAUCAGGAGGAACACCGAUGGCGAAGGCAGAUCUCUGGGCCGUAACUGACGCUGAGGAGCGAAAGCAUGGGGAGCGAACAGG